GAUGAACGCUGGCGGCGUGCCUAAUACAUGCAAGUCGAGCGAACAGACGAGGAGCUUGCUCCUCUGACGUUAGCGGCGGACGGGUGAGUAACACGUGGAUAACCUACCUAUAAGACUGGGAUAACUUCGGGAAACCGGAGCUAAUACCGGAUAAUAUAUUGAACCGCAUGGUUCAAUAGUGAAAGACGGUUUUGCUGUCACUUAUAGAUGGAUCCGCGCCGCAUUAGCUAGUUGGUAAGGUAACGGCUUACCAAGGCGACGAUGCGUAGCCGACCUGAGAGGGGGCGCGGCCACACGGGAACUGAGCCCCGGCCCAGCCUCCUAGGGGAGGAACCAGUAGGAAUGUUUCCGCAGUGGGCAAAGCCCUGACGGACCAACGCCGCGGGAGUGAGAAAGUUUUUGGAAUGUAAAAAUUUUUUUAUAGGGGAAGAAAAAUUGUUUAAGAAACUAUGCCCUUUUUGACGUUACCUAAUCAAAAAGCCCCGGCAACCUCCGUC
RNAcentral lists this ribosomal RNA (497 nucleotides) under uncultured bacterium. RNAcentral describes it as "partial 16S ribosomal RNA". It matches the Rfam family "Bacterial small subunit ribosomal RNA", at positions 28 to 507 of the family's 1533-position model. The record is from RNAcentral.